GGCAGCAGUGGGGAAUUUUGGACAAUGGGCGAAAGCCUGAUCCAGCCAUGCCGCGUGCAGGAUGAAGGCCUUCGGGUUGUAAACUGCUUUUGUACGGAACGAAAAGACUCUGGUUAAUACCUGGGGUCCAUGACGGUACCGUAAGAAUAAGCACCGGCUAACUACGUGCCAGCAGCCGCGGUAAUACGUAGGGUGCAAGCGUUAAUCGGAAUUA
This 214-nucleotide ribosomal RNA is filed under the name Anophryoides haemophila. RNAcentral describes it as "partial Bacterial small subunit ribosomal RNA". It matches the Rfam family "Bacterial small subunit ribosomal RNA", at positions 347 to 553 of the family's 1533-position model. The record is from RNAcentral. Lineage: Eukaryota; Ciliophora; Oligohymenophorea; Philasterida; Glauconematidae.